RNAcentral lists this transfer RNA (73 nucleotides) under Candidatus Omnitrophota bacterium. RNAcentral's name for it is "tRNA-Ala". It matches the Rfam family "tRNA". From Rfam's summary of the family: Transfer RNA (tRNA) molecules are approximately 80 nucleotides in length. Their secondary structure includes four short double-helical elements and three loops (D, anti-codon, and T loops). The record is from RNAcentral. Lineage: Bacteria; Pseudomonadati; Candidatus Omnitrophota.
GGGCCGGUAGUUCAGUCGGGAGAACGCCUGGUUCGCAAUCAGGAGGUCGGCGGUUCAAAUCCGCUCCGGUCCA